UACGUAGGGUGCGAGCGUUAAUCGGAAUUACUGGGCGUAAAGCGUGCGCAGGCGGUUUUGUAAGCCAGAUGUGAAAUCCCCGGGCUUAACCUGGGAGUGGCAUUUGGGACUGCAAGGCUGGAGUGACGGCAGGAGGAGACUGGAAUUCCUGGUGUAGCAGUGAAAUGCGUAGAGAUCAGGAGGAAUACCGAUGGCGAAGGCAGGUCUCUGGGCUGACACUGACGCUCAUGCACGAAAGCGUGGGGAGCAAACAGG
Molecule: ribosomal RNA, 255 nt
Filed under: uncultured bacterium
Lineage: Bacteria
Description: partial 16S ribosomal RNA
Rfam family: Bacterial small subunit ribosomal RNA
Source: RNAcentral